GACGAACGCUGGCGGCGUGCUUAACACAUGCAAGUCGAACGGAAAGGCCCUGCUUUUGUGGGGUGCUCGAGUGGCGAACGGGUGAGUAACACGUGAGUAACCUGCCCUUGACUUUGGGAUAACUUCAGGAAACUGGGGCUAAUACCGGAUAGGAGCUCCUGCUGCAUGGUGGGGGUUGGAAAGUUUCGGCGGUUGGGGAUGGACUCGCGGUUUAUCAGCUUGUUGGUGGGGUAGUGGCUUACCAAGGCUUUGACGGGUAGCCGGCCUGAGAGGGUGACCGGCCACAUUGGGACUGAGAUACGGCCCAGACUCCUACGGGAGGCAGCAGUGGGGAAUAUUGCACAAUGGGCGGAAGCCGGAUGCAGCAACGCCGCGUGCGGGAUGACGGCCUUCGGGUUGUAAACCGCUUUCGCCUGUGACGAAGCGUGAGUGACGGUAAUGGGGAAAGAAGCACCGGCUAACUACGU
Molecule: ribosomal RNA, 467 nt
Filed under: uncultured bacterium
Lineage: Bacteria
Description: partial 16S ribosomal RNA
Rfam family: Bacterial small subunit ribosomal RNA
Source: RNAcentral